ACGGGUAACGGGGAAUCAGGGUUCGAUUCCGGAGAGGGAGCCUGAGAAACGGCUACCACUUCCAAGGAAGGCAGCAGGCACGCAAAUUACCCACUCCCGGCACGGGGAGGUAGUGACGAAAAAUAACAAUACGGGACUCUAAUGAGGCCCCGUAAUUGGAAUGAGUACAAUCUAAAUCCUUUAACGAGGAUCAAUUGGAGGGCAAGUCUGGUGCCAGCAGCCGCGGUAAUUCCAGCUCCAAUAGCGUAUAUUAAAGUUGUUGCGGUUAAAAAGCUCGUAGUUGGAUCUCAGUUCAUGCUAUGUGGUCCACUUGCCGGUGGUUACUACUUAGCUGAACAUCUUACAGACCUGUCUUGCAAUGCUCUUCACCGGGUGUUGUGAGCGAUCUGUACGUUUACUUUGAAAAAAUUAGAGUGCUUAAAGCAGGCGUAAUGCCAGAAUAAUCUUGCAUGGAAUAAUGGAAUAGGACCUCGGUUCUAUUUUGUUGGUCUUCGGAAUCUGAGGAAAUGAUUAAGAGG
RNAcentral lists this ribosomal RNA (518 nucleotides) under Thalassarachna sp. OSH0903_3Th. RNAcentral's name for it is "SSU rRNA". It matches the Rfam family "Eukaryotic small subunit ribosomal RNA", at positions 355 to 876 of the family's 1831-position model. The record is from RNAcentral. Lineage: Eukaryota; Metazoa; Arthropoda; Arachnida; Trombidiformes; Halacaridae.